RNAcentral lists this non-coding RNA (22 nucleotides) under Arabidopsis thaliana (thale cress). Lineage: Eukaryota; Viridiplantae; Streptophyta; Magnoliopsida; Brassicales; Brassicaceae. The record is from RNAcentral.
UGGUUGGAUAGUGGUGUUUUUG